This is a long non-coding RNA of Chlorocebus sabaeus (green monkey), 1556 nucleotides long. RefSeq lists it as uncharacterized. Lineage: Eukaryota; Metazoa; Chordata; Mammalia; Primates; Cercopithecidae. The record is from RefSeq and is a predicted model, not a curated record.
CUGGAUCAAGCAAUCCUCCCACCUGAGCCUCCAGAGCAGCUGGGACUACAGGGAUUGCAGGGAUCACAGAAAGACUACCCAGGUCCAGCAGCUACCUGCAAGCGGAGAUCCCUCUGGACGCCCCCGCCUCACCCAGCAAAGCCGGAUCACAACCCUGCGCUCUCAAACCUCUAAAAGGGCUUGAGGUGCUAAGAGGAAAGGAAGCCCAAGAUUGCCACGGCUUACGUGGGCUCCAAGGAGGGCCAGGAGUCACUGCCUGCUUGGGCUAAGGGUACCGCGUACGGAAAGGCGGCGGGGGCGCGGCCCAGUCCUAGGAGAUGCGCCCAAUGAAGAAGCGGAGGGACACGGUCACGGGAUAGGGCAGACACCCGGCUGCUUUUUGUUUGCUAGACACCAGCGCCAGCCCCUGCCCGGCCCUCCCGGUCUCCUAAGUGGGGUCUUAGGCUCUACAGCGCCCCCGACCGCCCUCCUGCGCUCCUCACCGUCUCCAUUGCAAGAGGCGCCGGCUUGGUUUUCUUGCUUUAGGAAACUCUCUUGGGGAAGGCCACGCCCCACAUCCGGUGCGGCGACGCCACUUCCGCCCACGUCAUGGCAGUCGCCAGACUACGGCGGAAGGCGUGGAACCCACCCUUCCGGCGGUGGCAGGCCUCGGUAACCGCCCUCCCCCGGGUCCUCUCGGACCGCACGGAUCCGGCUGACGGCGAGGGUCACGGGACGGAGCCGCUUGUAUUUAAAAUGUUCUUUUUUUAUUUGUCGUUUAAAAACAAACUUGGAAGAAGCAAAAUCCAAAACUUGCCCUUUGCCUCUCGCAACAUAAAUUAUGUACAGUUCAGAAUGAUCGCUGAUACAAAACAUGCCAAGGACAGGGGCGCUGAGGGUGGAGGGAGAGAGGGCGCUUUAAAAAAGGGAACCAUUUCAUCCGUUGUUACGAAGGACCAACCUUGCUGUACAGGAUACACACAACACAAAAUAAAGUCUUCACGGGAUUCACACUUGUCAGCGAUUUAUUUUUUAAAAAGGGGGAGGGUCCUGGAGGUGAGGGGAGAAGACUGUAAAGGGGAAAACUGAAAAUUGAGUAUGUGCGAGUGUAAACCAACCCAAAAUACAAACACGGGGGGGUGGGGGAUUCUGAUGCAAUUAUACAGGCAGGGUACUUAAAAAAAAACCAACCAAAAUUCCAACCUUGUAGCUUGGGUCUGAGUUAUAGUUUAUAUAAAAAUUAAAAACUGUAUAAGGUUUCUUCACUAAAUUCUACAGGACUAUCGGAUACCUAGCAUAUGCUUACAAAGUCUGCCCCAUCCCCUUUUCCCAAUCCCAGGGCCCAAGCCCCAAACACAGCCUGACUCACGGGAGCCAAUCUCCCCCUCCCUGUAGCCUAGACCUAUUGCUCUCCGAAAAGGAACAUCAAGGGCUGUGGCUUUGAGGGCUGCAGCCCAGUCUUCCUGCUGUCUGAUUUAAUUACAGCGGUUCCUGUGGGAGUGGGGGGUGUUAUUCUCUUAAACAUUUGCAGCUUGAAACAGUUGAGGAAGCAGCUUAAAAAAAAAAAAAAAAAAAAA